UCCCUAUCUACUAUCUAGCGAAACCACAGC
Molecule: non-coding RNA, 30 nt
Filed under: Bombyx mori (domestic silkworm)
Lineage: Eukaryota; Metazoa; Arthropoda; Insecta; Lepidoptera; Bombycidae
Source: RNAcentral